CAGUCGCCACGGUAAUACGGAGGGGGCUAGCGUUGUUCGGAAUUACUGGGCGUAAAGCGCACGUAGGCGGCUUGGUAAGUUAGAGGUGAAAGCCUGGAGCUCAACUCCAGAAUUGCCUUUAAGACUGCCGAGCUAGCAGGUGAGAGAGGUAAGUGGAAUUCCGAGUGUAGAGAUGAAAUUCGUAGAUAUUCGGAAGAACACCAGUGGCGAAGGCGGCUUACUGGCUCAUACUGGACGCUGAGGUGCGAAAGCGUGGGGAGCAAACAGGAUUAGAUACCCCCGUAGUCCCUGUCUCUUAUAC
RNAcentral lists this ribosomal RNA (301 nucleotides) under uncultured bacterium. RNAcentral describes it as "partial 16S ribosomal RNA". It matches the Rfam family "Bacterial small subunit ribosomal RNA", at positions 509 to 807 of the family's 1533-position model. The record is from RNAcentral.